Haliotis rubra (blacklip abalone) is the source of this 824-nucleotide long non-coding RNA. RefSeq lists it as uncharacterized. Lineage: Eukaryota; Metazoa; Mollusca; Gastropoda; Lepetellida; Haliotidae. The transcript has 2 exons. The record is from RefSeq and is a predicted model, not a curated record.
UUAGCAAAGUGGUGCGGAGACGAGAGACCAUCUAAGGACAGCUCAGGAUCGCAAAUGUUCAUUGUAUUCCAUGCUAGUAGUGUUGGGACCCGUGGUGUUUUUAAGAUCAACUUUUUUGUAGUACCAAAAUCACAACAGGAGUCUGGAGACAUGAAAACAAUCACCAUACUUUUGUCAUGCAUCGCAGUUGUAUUUGUUCCGGCAGUGCUCUUCAGUGUUUACAGGAUUCGCCAGAGACGAUACCAUCGGUCAUCACACACAAAUCGUGCUUUCGUGGCCACCACCAUGUCUUCAAACCCAGCACUUCAGGUUCCACACCAAGCAGCAAUGAUGCCAGCUACGGAAACUGGAGGCGAAAUAGAAUUGUCUCCCUACACCUCAGCUGCUCAAAGCCAGCCUCCCCCGUCAUACGAAAGUCUGGAGUUUGGACCCAACAGUGGGAAAUAGUGAUCUGAGCUAUUGGACAGCAGAUGUAAACGUAGCAGCGAAGAUGUAAUUCUGUCUGAUAGACGUAUGGGGAUUAAACCAUGGAACUGUACAGUUCAAUUCCUUCAAUACGGAAGGGGGUGGAGUGGGGGGGGGGGACACAGAGAGAGAGACAGAGACAGACACCUUUUCAUAUUGUGUGCGUGUGUCAGUGUAUGUGUGUGCGCGCUAACUUAGGUUAUGAAAGAGUUUGAAUUAUGAAAUACUGAACAAAAAGAUGCAAAUGACGUUUACAUACAAUACUAAAUUCUAACGUGAUUAUUUUACAUGUAUGUGUUCUGUGAGAAAGUGAUGAUCUUUACUGCUUAUGGCAUUGAAAUGCAAAAUACCAAUAUUUA